RNAcentral lists this non-coding RNA (29 nucleotides) under Mus musculus (house mouse). The record is from RNAcentral. Lineage: Eukaryota; Metazoa; Chordata; Mammalia; Rodentia; Muridae.
UGGCAGAGUGUCUCGAUGGGUUGGGAUCC